CUUAUGGUGAGAGCAGCGGCCCUGGUGGAAGCGUGGUAGCCCCUAGAAGGUCCAGGAUGGAACACAGAAGCUUUCCCUUGGGAUAUGUGAGUGCUCCAGCAGUUGUAAAGAGAGCUCUGAACAUAUGUGAGUGAGGAGAGCAAUUGAGGCCUUUGGAAUGAGUACACAUCCAGGAGUGAAGAAGACAAGCUCAACUGCCAUUCUCUGAGCAGUUCAAGGCAUACUGAGUUGCGGGAGUUGUGUGGUGGUCCACUCUGACUGCAAGCACCCCUUUCUUGAACCGAACAGAGUCAAGUGGAAUCAAAGGACAUUACCUGUUGAUUCUUGGGCAAGGCCCAGAAUUUGGUGGACAUACUUAAAGAAGAAAGGAAUCUUCAGCUAAAGUGUCUACGAUCAAUUCAGAUUUGGAGGGCAUGGAUCUUCUGACAGUAGGGGCCAUUCUAGGAUUUUUUGGUUGAAGAGAUGAACUUCAACUUGGUUCCAGAUGGGUGGUCCAGCUAUUCUGCUGACAACAUUUUUCAGGGCAAGGCUUUUGCUACUGGAAUGAUUUAAGGAAGAUCCCUCAGUGUUUCAGAGUAAAGAUAUUUCUAAAGAAGUACCUGUGUCAUUGCCCAUCUUGAAGAUUGACUUUUAUGGAUUGCUCAAAUACUGAUAUCAGCUCAAUGUCAAUAUAUACUCCUACAUAUAAAAUCCAUCUUCUAAUCAUAAUCACUAGGUAAGAUGCUAGUGCAAGUUGAAGUUCUUAAAGGAGAUGACCUGAACAGCCUUCUUAGUGUACCAGGGAGACCAGAUUGAGUUUAAACUAUGUUUACCCUGCACUCAGACACGCCUAGGUGUGUCUGGGAGAUUAGUAGAUGGUGUUCAACAAGGAUCUAUUUAAACAAGGGAGACAUUAAUUUGGAUUCCUUUGGUUGUAAAUUUCCAAAAAAAAAAAAAAG
RNAcentral lists this long non-coding RNA (938 nucleotides) under Homo sapiens (human). Its description in RNAcentral is "LY86 antisense RNA 1". Lineage: Eukaryota; Metazoa; Chordata; Mammalia; Primates; Hominidae. The record is from RNAcentral.